UGGCGGCGUGCCUAAUACAUGCAAGUCGAACGGAAAUCUUCGGAUUUUAGUGGCGAACGGGUGAGUAACACGUAAGCAACCUGCCUUUAAGACGAGGAUAACAAUUGGAAACAGUUGCUAAGACUGGAUAGGAAAUAAAAAGGCAUCUUUUUAUUUUUAAAAAACCUUUUUCGGAAGGUAUGCUUAAAGAGGGGCUUGCGUCACAUUAUUUAGUUGGCAGGGUAAAGGCCUACCAAGACUAUGAUGUGUAGCUGGACUGAGAGGUUGAACAGCCACUUUGGGACUGAAACACGGCCCAAACUCCUACGGGAGGCAGCAGUAGGGAAUUUUCGGCAAUGGAGGAAACUCUGACCGAGCAACGCCGCGUGAACGAUGAAGUAUUUCGGUAUGUAAAGUUCUUUUAUUGAAGAAAAAAAAAUAGUGGAAAAACUAUCUUGACGAUAUUCAAUGAAUAAGCCCCGGCAAACUAUGUGCCAGCAGCCGCGGUAAUACAUAGGGGGCGAGCGUUAUCCGGAAUUAUUGGGCGUAAAGGGUGCGUAGGCGGUUUAAUAAGUCUAUAGUUUAAUUUCAGUGCUUAACACUGUCCUGCUAUAGAAACUAUUAGACUAGAGUGAGAUAGAGGCAAGUGGAAUUCCAUGUGUAGCGGUAAAAUGCGUAAAUAUAUGGAGGAACACCAGAGGCGUAGGCGGCUUGCUGGGUCUUUACUGACGCUGAGGCACGAAAGCGUGGGGAGCAAACAGGAUUAGAUACCCUGGUAGUCCACGCCGUAAACGAUGAGUACUAAGUGUCGGGAUUACUCGGUACUGAAGUUAACACAUUAAGUACUCCGCCUGAGUAGUACGUACGCAAGUAUGAAACUUAAAGGAAUUGACGGGACUCCGCACAAGCGGUGGAUCAUGUUGUUUAAUUUGAAGAUACACGAAAAACCUUACCAGGUCUUGACAUACUCUGCAAAGCUAUAGCAAUAUAGUGGAGGUUAUCAGGGAUACAGGUGGUGCAUGGUUGUCGUCAGCUCGUGUCGUGAGAUGUUAGGUUAAGUCCUAAAACGAGCGCAACCCUUGUCAUUAGUUGCCAGCAUGUCAUGAUGGGCACUUUAAUGAGACUGCCAAUGAAAAAUUGGAGGAAGGUGAGGAUCACGUCAAAUCAUCAUGCCCCUUAUGAUCUGGGCUAC
Molecule: ribosomal RNA, 1171 nt
Filed under: Candidatus Phytoplasma sacchari
Lineage: Bacteria; Bacillati; Mycoplasmatota; Mollicutes; Acholeplasmatales; Acholeplasmataceae
Description: bacterial SSU rRNA
Rfam family: Bacterial small subunit ribosomal RNA
Source: RNAcentral